CCCAGCGCUUCGCGUACCAGGAAGGGGACGGCGUCCUGAAAGGGACAUUUAAAAAACGGAGGCAACGCGUCUAUUAAUUAGGUGGCGGCGCCUGGGGUCGCAGCACUCAAGAGGCUGAGAGUCUCGCCCUUUUGCCUAGUGGAGGAGCUCGGCUCACUGCAAGCUCCGCGCCACAACCCCCCCGCCGCCCCAGGUUCAAGCGAUUCUCCUGCCUCAGUCUCCCGAGUAGACUGGGAUUACAGGCGACUGCCACCAUGCCCGGCUAAUUUUUGUAUUUUUGGUAGAGACGGGGUUUCACUAUGUUGGCCAGGCUGAACCCGAACUCGUGACCUCAGGUGAUCUUCCCGCCUCAGUCUCUGAGUGCUGGGAUUGUAGGCGCGGCCAGGCAUGGUGGCUCACACCUGUAAUCCCAGACCGAGGCAGGUGGAUUGCUUGAGCCCAGGAGUUCAAGACCAGCCUAGGCAACAUAUUCUAGGACAAGGAGACUGGCUUUCACAGAGGUUCGGGUUCGGUUCAGUUUUCUUCAGAAGAACUUCAGAAUGCACUACAACAGGAAAAUCAUAUUCUAGAUGGAGUCAAUGUCAAUCUGUUUGUAUACCAGAUACAUCUAUGAUAUACAUGCAGCUACUAUCUGGUUAUGUAUCAAAUAGAUCAUAAAUGUGGAAUGAUGGGGACUUUGAGAGAUUUGUAACUGAAGCUGCCUUCAUGCUUGUUAGAAUGGUGGGGUGGAAGAGUUCCUAGUUUUAAAGGAGAAGUACAAGAAGACCCAUAAUGGUUAGCAAGAUAUAUAGAAAACGGUAGACACAGCAGCACACUUUUCAAGUCAGCUCCAGGUUCAAGCUCAAAGGCCUAAAGUUUUGCAAACAUCUGAUGAAGAGGAAGAUUUUUGAGACUGUUCCAGCCUAUUACAUAAAGGAAACAUAACUGAGAAUUUUGUCUAAAGGUUUUUAUUUGAAACAAAUAUUUGCACCCAUCAAGAGCUUAUUUUACCCACUCCAAAUUAAAACACAGCACAAGGGCCACAUUUAUUUGGCAGGACAGUUCCAAUAUGUGAACCUCCUCCUCCUCACUGCUGUUGGGGUGAUUUGACUCAUAAGCAGCUGUUCUUACACAAAAUAUUAACCCGAACUGCUAGUGUCACACAAAAGGAAGUGGUCUUGAUUGUGUAUGUGGGCCAGCGUGUUCUACAAAUGCUGAAAGGUGGGAGAAGCACAAAUACAACCCACUCUUUAAAACAACUAAAUAAUUCAAAGUAAAAUGUUCUAUCCCCAUCCCCUCCCCGCCCCCGCCUUCUCCAAUAAUAAAACGUAGCAUCGAG
Molecule: non-coding RNA, 1318 nt
Filed under: Pongo abelii (Sumatran orangutan)
Lineage: Eukaryota; Metazoa; Chordata; Mammalia; Primates; Hominidae
Source: RNAcentral